RNAcentral lists this small nuclear RNA (136 nucleotides) under Sorex araneus (European shrew). RNAcentral describes it as "U2 spliceosomal RNA (ENSSARG00000019935.1)". It matches the Rfam family "U2 spliceosomal RNA". Rfam says of the family: U2 is a small nuclear RNA (snRNA) component of the spliceosome (involved in pre-mRNA splicing). The record is from RNAcentral. Lineage: Eukaryota; Metazoa; Chordata; Mammalia; Eulipotyphla; Soricidae.
AUCGCUUCUCGGCCUUUUGGCUAAGACCAAGUGUAGUAUCUUAUCUUAUCUAUAUGGAUUUAUGCAUGCAUAAGUGUAGUCACGAUUCUGUAUACUCAUCUUAAUAGUUGCUAUUCUAGAAAAUAGCAUACUACUU